Molecule: ribosomal RNA, 229 nt
Filed under: uncultured bacterium
Lineage: Bacteria
Description: partial 16S ribosomal RNA
Rfam family: Bacterial small subunit ribosomal RNA
Source: RNAcentral
UGAGCAAUCUGCCCUUCUCAUCGGAAUAAGCGUUGGAAACGACGUCUAAUGCCGAAUACGACCUCCUUUCGCAUGAUCGGAGGUGGAAAGCUCCGGCGGAGAAGGAUGAGCUCGCGGCCUAUCAGCUAGUUGGUGUGGGUAAUGGCCCACCAAGGCGACGACGGGUAGCCGGCCUGAGAGGGUGACUGGCCACACGUGGGACUGAGACACGGCCCAGACUCCGUAGGGA